Molecule: ribosomal RNA, 465 nt
Filed under: Vreelandella stevensii
Lineage: Bacteria; Pseudomonadati; Pseudomonadota; Gammaproteobacteria; Oceanospirillales; Halomonadaceae
Description: partial 16S ribosomal RNA
Rfam family: Bacterial small subunit ribosomal RNA
Source: RNAcentral
CCUACGGGUGGCAGCAGUGGGGAAUAUUGGACAAUGGGGGCAACCCUGAUCCAGCCAUGCCGCGUGUGUGAAGAAGGCCCUCGGGUUGUAAAGCACUUUCAGUGAGGAAGAACGCCUGGUGGUUAAUACCCAUCAGGAAAGACAUCACUCACAGAAGAAGCACCGGCUAACUCCGUGCCAGCAGCCGCGGUAAUACGGAGGGUGCGAGCGUUAAUCGGCAUUACUGGGCGUAAAGCGCGCGUAGGUGGCUUGAUAAGCCGGUUGUGAAAGCCCCGGGCUCAACCUGGGAACGGCAUCCGGAACUGUCAAGCUAGAGUGCAGGAGAGGAAGGUAGAAUUCCCGGUGUAGCGGUGAAAUGCGUAGAGAUCGGGAGGAAUACCAGUGGCGAAGGCGGCCUUCUGGACUGACACUGACACUGAGGUGCGAAAGCGUGGGUAGCAAACAGGAUUAGAUACCCUUGUAGUC